UAAGCGGAGGAAAAGAAACCAACAGGGAUUGCCCUAGUAACGGCGAGUGAAGCGGCAACAGCUCAAAUUUGAAAUCUGGCCCUUGGGUCCGAAUUGUAAUUUGUAGAGGAUGAUUUUGGUGCGGUACCUUCCGAGUUCCUUGGAACAGGACGCCUUAGAGGGUGAGAGCCCCGUACGGUUGGAUGCCUAGCCUUUGUAAAUCUCCUUCGACGAGUCGAGUAGUUUGGGAAUGCUGCUCUAAAUGGGAGGUAAAUUUCUUCUAAAGCUAAAUACUGGCCAGAGACCGAUAGCGCACAAGUAGAGUGAUCGAAAGAUGAAAAGCACUUUGAAAAGAGGGUUAAAUAGCACGUGAAAUUGUUGAAAGGGAAGGAUUUAUGACCAGACUUUUUCUGGGCGGAUCAUCCGGUGUUCUCACCGGUGCACUUCGCCCAGUUUAGGCCAGCAUCGGUUUUCGGUGGGGGAUAAAAGCUUUAGGAAUGUGGCUCUUUCGGGAGUGUUAUAGCCUAUUGUAUAAUACCCUACUGGGGACCGAGGUACGCGCUUCUGCAAGGAUGCUGGCGUAAUGGUUAUCAAUCACCCGUCUUGAAACACGGACCAAGGAGUCGAACAUUUGUGCAAGUGUUUGGGUGUUAAACCCUCACGCGUAAUGAAAGUGAACGGAGGUGAGAGCCCUUACGGGUGCAUCAUCGACCGAUCCUGAUGUUUUCGGAUGGAUUUGAGUAAGAGCAUAACUGUUCGGACCCGAAAGAUGGUGAACUAUGCGUGGAUAGGGUGAAGCCAGAGGAAACUCUGGUGGAGGCUCGCAGCGGUUCUGACGUGCAAAUCGAUCGUCAAAUCUGCGCAUGGGGGGGAAGGACUAAUCGAACCAUCUAGUAGCUGGUU
RNAcentral lists this ribosomal RNA (882 nucleotides) under Immersidiscosia eucalypti. Its description in RNAcentral is "LSU rRNA". It matches the Rfam family "Eukaryotic large subunit ribosomal RNA", at positions 47 to 956 of the family's 3401-position model. Lineage: Eukaryota; Fungi; Ascomycota; Sordariomycetes; Amphisphaeriales; Sporocadaceae. The record is from RNAcentral.